CAGGACAAUAUCUUCAUGAGUAAAUAUAGUGAGGCAGAGGAAGAUUUGAUACACACAGAAGAGGAGAGAGCAAUGUGAAGAUGGUGGCAGAGAUGGGACUGAUGAAGCCACCAGAAGCUGGAAGACAUAAGGAUCCGAUUCUCCCCUGGAGCAUCUGGAAGAAGCAAGGUCCUGUCAACAUUGUGCUUUUAGUCAUUGAAAUGAAUAUUGAACAGAAUCCUGUCCCCUAGCACUAGUAGAGAAUAAAGUUAUGUUGUUUUAAGCCACCAAUUUAUGAUGAUUUCUUAUGGCAGCCACGGGAUACUAAUUUACCUUCUCAGAUGAU
Molecule: long non-coding RNA, 325 nt
Filed under: Homo sapiens (human)
Lineage: Eukaryota; Metazoa; Chordata; Mammalia; Primates; Hominidae
Description: HSALNT0091761
Source: RNAcentral